UUAACAUUGUGUAGUACUCAGACAGACACGUAAACAGGUUAGGGUUUGGGGUCUUCGGCGGGCACGCACCGGCGGGGUGCCGGUGGCCGAGCGGCGGCCCGCCGAAGCAACAGGGGGUUAAAUACACAAAGGGUGGAGGUAUACCCCGGAGGGCAUGGACACUGUAAUGAUCCUUCCGCAGGUUCACCUACGGAAA
This 196-nucleotide unclassified non-coding RNA is filed under the name uncultured fungus. Its description in RNAcentral is "sequence contains ITS1". Lineage: Eukaryota; Fungi. The record is from RNAcentral.